Molecule: ribosomal RNA, 379 nt
Filed under: uncultured eukaryote
Lineage: Eukaryota
Description: partial 18S ribosomal RNA
Rfam family: Eukaryotic small subunit ribosomal RNA
Source: RNAcentral
CAAUAGCGUAUAUUUAAGUUGUUGCAGUUAAAAAGCUCGUAGUUGGAUUUCGGAUGGGAUUUGCCGGUCCGUCGUUACGAUGUGCACUGGCCAGUCCUAUCUUGUUGUCGGGGACUAGCUCCUUGGAUUCACUUCCUGGGACUAGGAGCUGACGAGGUUACUUUGAGUAAAUUAGAGUGUUCAAAGCAAGCCUACGCUCUGAAUACAUUAGCAUGGAAUAACACGAUAGGACUCUGGCUUAUCUUGUUGGUCUGUGAGACCAGAGUAAUGAUUAAGAGGGACAGUCGGGGACAUUCGUAUUUCAUUGUCAGAGGUGAAAUUCUUAGAUUUAUGGAAGACGAACAUCUGCGAAAGCAUUUGCCAAGGAUGUUUUCAUUGA